GUGUCAGCAGCCGCGGUAAUACGAACCGUCCUAACGUUAUUCGGAAUCACUGGGCUUAAAGGGUGCGUAGGCGGCCCGAUAAGUUGGGUGUGAAAUCCCUCGGCUCAACCGAGGAAUCGCGCUCAAAACUGUCGGGCUCGAGGAAGAUAGAGGUAAGCGGAACUUAGGGUGGAGCGGUGAAAUGCGUUGAUAUCCUAAGGAACACCGGUGGCGAAAGCGGCUUACUGGGUCUUUACUGACGCUGAGGCACGAAAGCUAGGGUAGCGAACGGGAUUAGAUACCCCGGUAGUCCUAGCCGUAAACGAUGAGCACUAGGUCGGAGGAUACUCCAUAGUCUUCUGGCCGUAGCGAAAGUGUUAAGUGCUCCGCCUGGGGAGUAUGGUCGCAAGGCUGAA
RNAcentral lists this ribosomal RNA (395 nucleotides) under uncultured bacterium. RNAcentral describes it as "bacterial SSU rRNA". It matches the Rfam family "Bacterial small subunit ribosomal RNA", at positions 505 to 898 of the family's 1533-position model. The record is from RNAcentral.